Molecule: small RNA, 282 nt
Filed under: Thermus thermophilus
Lineage: Bacteria; Thermotogati; Deinococcota; Deinococci; Thermales; Thermaceae
Description: 5_ureB_sRNA
Rfam family: 5' ureB small RNA
Source: RNAcentral
AUGCCUGUUGAGGGGAGACGAAGUGGAUAUGGGCGUCGAUUCCGCCGGCCGUGAGGAUCUUUCCUUCCCCGGAUAUCACCUCGGUGCCGGGACCGAUAACUAGACCGGGGGUUACGCCCUCCUGGACAUCGGGAUUGCCCGCCUUACCCAGGACCACGAUGCGGCCAUCCUUGAUCCCCACAUCCGCUUUGACCACGCCCCAGUAAUCCAGGACGAUCACGUUCGUGAUCACCGAAUCCAGGGCUCCUUGCUCCCGGCUCAGCUGGGACUGGCCUAUCCCAU